RNAcentral lists this ribosomal RNA (760 nucleotides) under uncultured Prevotella sp. RNAcentral describes it as "bacterial SSU rRNA". It matches the Rfam family "Bacterial small subunit ribosomal RNA", at positions 28 to 776 of the family's 1533-position model. The record is from RNAcentral. Lineage: Bacteria; Pseudomonadati; Bacteroidota; Bacteroidia; Bacteroidales; Prevotellaceae.
GAUGAACGCUGGCUACAGGCUUAACACAUGCAAGUCGAGGGGAAACGACGGGGAAGCUUGCUUCCCCGGGCGUCGACCGGCGCACGGGUGAGUAACGCGUAUCCAACCUGCCUCUGACUGAGGGAUAACCCGUCGAAAGUCGGCCUAAUACCUCAUGGCAUCGUCUGCGGGCAUCCAACGACGAUUAAAGAUUUCAUCGGUCAGGGAUGGGGAUGCGUCUGAUUAGCUUGUUGGCGGGGUAACGGCCCACCAAGGCUACGAUCAGUAGGGGUUCUGAGAGGAAGGUCCCCCACAUUGGAACUGAGACACGGUCCAAACUCCUACGGGAGGCAGCAGUGAGGAAUAUUGGUCAAUGGGCGAGAGCCUGAACCAGCCAAGUAGCGUGCAGGAUGACGGCCCUAUGGGUUGUAAACUACUUUUAUGCGGGGAUAAAGUGAGGGACGUGUCCUUCAUUGCAGGUACCGCAUGAAUAAGGACCGGCUAAUUCCGUGCCAGCAGCCGCGGUAAUACGGAAGGUCCGGGCGUUAUCCGGAUUUAUUGGGUUUAAAGGGAGCGUAGGCCGUGGAUUAAGCGUGUUGUGAAAUGCAGGUGCUCAACGUCUGCACUGCAGCGCGAACUGGUCCACUUGAGUGUGCGCAACGCAGGCGGAAUUCGUCGUGUAGCGGUGAAAUGCUUAGAUAUGACGAAGAACUCCGAUUGCGAAGGCAGCUUGCGGGAGCACAACUGACGCUGAAGCUCGAAAGUGCGGGUAUCGAACAGG